AAAUAUGAGAGUAAUCUGGCUGCAACAUCUGUCACCUCAUUAAUGGCCAGGAUUGAUUCACCUAAUCUGGAUGACUUGGCAGGUGUCUUUUCCAGCCUCACUACUCCAUGUGUGUCCUUUCGGAAGCUACUUGCUAGGUUGAAGAAGAUGACCUUCCCAAACAGAGAACCAUUCUUCACUGAAGGGUACACAAGCAGCUAUGUUCCCCUGCUAGAACCUCUAAAUAUGCUGUCAAGGAUAUAGGUCCAAGUGGUAAGACUUCAGAAGUAAAAGGCAGAAAGAAAUAAUCAAAGGAUCCUAUGAAGAGCAAUUCAGUGGAGUAUCAUUACUUCCUUU
This 336-nucleotide small nuclear RNA is filed under the name Saimiri boliviensis boliviensis (Bolivian squirrel monkey). RNAcentral's name for it is "7SK RNA (ENSSBOG00000009932.1)". It matches the Rfam family "7SK RNA". Rfam says of the family: 7SK was discovered as an abundant small nuclear RNA in the mid-70s but a possible function has only recently been suggested. Two independent studies have found that 7SK RNA binds the CDK9/cyclin T complex (known as elongation factor P-TEFb). P-TEFb activates transcription by phosphorylating the C-terminal domain of RNA polymerase II. The record is from Rfam by way of RNAcentral. Lineage: Eukaryota; Metazoa; Chordata; Mammalia; Primates; Cebidae.